CUUUCUCCCCGCCGCAUUCCCGGUGUCGACUUACUAGCUGCAAGCCUCUGCCUGCCUUCCUGCGCGCCGUUCCCCGCUAGUCGCUGCUGCUGGCGCGCACUCGCCGGGUUUUUCCUCCCACGGCCUCGAGAUGGUGGUGAAUGUGGCACGGAGGAGCCGGGCCUUCCAACCCGGUGGGCCCGAGCUCCGAAAGGCCCCCUCGGCAGUGAGAGGGGCGGGAGCCCGCGGGGGCCGCGCCCUUCUCUCGCUUCGGACUGCGCAACGCUGCGCUCUGGGCUGACAGGUGAGUGUUGCAGGCAGGCGGCCGGGUUUACGGAAGGGGUGGGGGUUUGGGAACCGGUCUCCUGGGGGAUGCGGGGAUGAAUCCCUGGGCCUGAAGUGUCUUAAUUCAGGGGGAGGCCGCAUGCUGGUGUCAGGAUGGCCUCCAGUUGAAUCUGUGACAUUUACCAGCUAGGUGAUUUUGGGACUGGUGACUACGCGCGAGACCUCUGGAGGUCGCCCUGGUAGACACGGUUUUCAGAAGGACGGGUUUUAGGCAUUCAGACCCUUGCGUGCAUCCCAGCUUGUUGCUUUCAGCCUCGCUAAGUGACUAAGCGACCUUCAGGAAGUAACUUAAUCGGUCUAAACCUCUUACCUGUAAUAGGCGGAUAAAACGGUCCCAUCAAGACUGAGAAAAAGCACACCAGCUAUUGGCACAGCGUGGGCAGUGGGGCCUACAGGAUGACUGACUUAGUCUACAGAGAUCCCGGCGUACUUAAGCAGAUGAAGACUCUUAAGAUGACAGAAGGUGAUUUUUCUGGUGAUCGAGGACUUCCGGGGUAAUGACAGUGAUGAAAUGCAGGGGACCUGGUAGGUUUCUUUUGGAGACUAACUGGGGGCUGCCUGGUGGGACAGAACAGCAUGUUUCCAAGGGCUGUGGCUGGUCAUAGCCAUGGGAUCUCCAACUGCAUGCAAGAGCAACCUGGAAAGACUUUGACAGCGCAGGUCAGUACAAUACCUGCAAGCUGCCACUCAGCUUUCCUAUAAUGUUUCAGGACCAGGGCUGGAAGCCUUCCAUGUGUCAACUUCAAUGUAGAUGGGUUUUUUUUUUUUUUUUUUUUUGAGACGGAGUCUUGCUCUGUCACCCAGGCUGCUGGAGUGCAGUGGCAUGAUCUCGGCUCAUGGCAACCUCUGCCUCCUGGGUUCAAGCGACUCUCCUACCUCAUCCUCCCGAGUAGCUGGGAUUACAGGUGCCCACCAUCACACCCAGCUAAUUUUCUUGUAUUUUUAGUAGAGAUGGUUUUCACCAUGUUGGCUAGAUGGGUCUCGAACUUCUGACCUCGGGUGAUCCGCCCGACUCGGCCUCCCCUUCCAAAGUGCUGGGAUUACAGGCAUGAGCCACCGCUCCUGGCCAGUUUAGUUUUCACGCUAAGCUUUUUGUUCUGCAGGUUGCCCCCAAGUUUCCUGGCAGUGUGUGAUACUGAGGAGGUGAGCUUGUUUCUGGAGCUGUGCUUUAAGAUUCAUGUUACAUGUAAAGCUGUCCUCAUUUGUGACUAUGGACCUAUGGAGUUGGGACAAUCUCUAUGGGAAGCAGAAGGCAAGGACCCCGGUCAUUUUAGGUAGAAACAACAGCAUGCUAAUGCAAAAAAUUAUGCAGUGUGCUACUGAACUUCAGAGGUGAUCAAUAAAAGAAGAAUAAAAAGACUAAUAAAAGUAUAUUUGUGUUUGUAUUUUUUUGUAGAGACCGAACUGGUCUCUUCCCGAGCUCAAGCAAUCCAUCUCCCAAAGUGAGCCACCAUGCCCAGCCCUUAAAGAGAUCUUUGGAGAUUUUUUAUGAUGUAGGAUGAAUGCUUUGCCUCAAGCAGUAAGUCCCAACACAUGACAAGGUUGGACAGUUUCCCCAUUUACUUGGGAAACACGGAAGUGAGCAGUAUAAAGUUCACACGGAGGGUCUGCUUUGGCUUUGAGCUAUCUUCCUUAAUCCUUUCUGAGCUGCCUUCUCCCGUGUCAAAAUAUUGAUCCUAAAGUGAUCCAGGCCUUGUAUAUGCAGAUGCUGCAACUCAUGAAAAUAGAUGAAACCCAUUAUUAGAGCAAGUACUAAUUCUUAGGCCAACUGGCCUGUUCCAUCACACCCCACCACAUUCUACCUUCUGGGGCGUGCUCCUACCACACCUGCUAGAGUGCCUUUUCUACCUAGCUGCCAGACUUGCACCAAGUUAGGACUCAAAUAUGGCAGGUCCUACAAAUACUCCAGAGAACCCUGAUUUACAUACCUACCUGUCAACUGAGAAACCUUGAACUCAGGCUUUAGUGUGUGAAUUAUCCCAAGCUGCUCAUCCCAGUUUUGGAUAAUCCCAAACUGUCCUAUGUGGAUAACUACCUGGACAAAGGAUUCCUGUGAAGGAAACCAAUUUGAACCUUGUUUAAAAGUUGUUCCCUUGGUCUUCAAACUCAAAUGGUCAAAUGAAUGCAGCAGUGUUGUAGAAACAUUCAUGAUCUCCAAAAACAGUCAUUAUUAAAAUCUUACAAAUCAUAUUUCCAAAAAGGUUUCACAAUUUUUAAAAAGGAGUCUCUCAUCUCCCUCACAUCAUGCAACCUGGCUUGUCCUUUGGCCUGGCUACAUCAUGGCAGGGAUCUCUGAAGACACUGUGUCCAGGGGCUGCCAGUGACAGUCCAUCAGAGCGUCAUACAGCUCCUCACUCUGUUCCAUGAACUCCUUGUUGGCCUCAGUCACAUCCAGCUGUGGCAUGGGGUCUGGAAAGCAAGCAAGGAUGGGGUCAGGGAAGUCUAGGGACAGCUGCAAGGGACCUGGUUCAGUUCCCUUCUCCCAGAACUCUGUUCUAUGGUAAGGUCCCUAUCCUGCCAGUUUCUUUCAGGAAGUGAAAGCACUGCCUUGCAGGGUUCUGGGGAAGAUGAAAAUAGAAUAAUGUAUCUAGAGAAUGGGAAAAUGGCAGCUGUUAGCCUGCAUCUAUUAAAAGCUACACCUGUGUCUCUAGCCAUCAUGUAUCCUAGAUUUUCUGGUCUGGUCCUCACUUCAAAUUUGGGUUUAGAAGGUCUGAUCAAAGUUAUUAAGUCCAGAGCAUCAUCUCAAGAACUGACAAUAAGUGCAUAGUGGAAGAACUUCAGUCAAAUAUAGGAGCUGAAAGGCCAAGUCCUGUAUGUAUGUAUGUGUGUGUGUAUGUACUUUAGAGAAAGGGUCUUGCUCUGUCACACAGGCUAGAGUACAGUGGCACACUUACAGCUCACAGCAGCCUUGAACUCUUAGGUUAAAGUGAUCCUCCCGCCUUAGCCUCCCAAAGUACUGAGAUUACAGGCAUGAGUCCCUGUCCCUGGUGGUAAAAUACUAUUAAAAAUUUUUUCUGCACAGUGGCUCAUGCCCAUAAUCCCAGCACUUCAGCAGGUCGAGGCGGGCAGAUCACCAGAAGUCGGGAGUUCAAGACCAGCCUGACCAACAUGGAGAAAUCCCAUCUCUACUAAAAAUACAAAAUGAGCCGGGCAUGGUGGCACAUGCCUAUAAUCCCAACUACUCGGGAGGCUGAGGCAGGAGAAUUGCUUGAACCCAGGAGGUGGAGGUUGCGGUGAGCCGAGAUGGCACCACUGCAUUCCAGCCUGGGCAACAAGAGCAAAACCCCGUCUCGGCCGGGCGCGGUGGCUCACGCCUGUAAUCCCAGCACUUUGGGAGGCCAAGGCAGGCAGAUCACAAGGUCAAGAGAUCGAGACCAUCCUGGCCAACAUGGUGAAACCCCGUCUCCACUAAAAAUAGAAAAAUUAGCUGGGCGUGGUGGCAGGCACCUGUAGUCCCAGCUACUCGGGAGGCUGAGGCAGGAGAAUCGCUUGAACCCGGGAGGCGGAGGUUGCAGUGAGCCGAGAUCACGCCAUUGCACUCCAGCCUGGGCAACAGAGCAAGAUGCCAUCUCAAAAAAAAAAAAAAAAUUAGCUGGGCAUGGUGACCUGUGUCUGUAGUGCCAGCUACUAGGGAGGCUGAGGCAGGAGGAUCACUUGAGCCUAGGAGGUCGAGGCUGCAGUGAGGCAUGUUCACAUCACUGAUCUCAAGUCUGGGCAACAAAGUGAGACUCUGUCUCAAAAAAAAAAAAAAACUGGGCACUGUGGCUCAUGCCUGUAAACCCAGCACUUUGGGAGGCCGAGGUGGGCAGAUCACAAGGUCAAGGGAUUGAGACCAUCCUGGGCAACAUGGUGAAACCCUGUCUCUACUCAAAUACAAAAAAUUAGCCGGGUAUGGCAGUGCACGCCUGUAGUCCCAGCUACUCGGGAGGCUGAGGCAGGAGAAUCACCUGAACCCGGGAGGCAGAGGUUGCAGUGAACAGAGAUGGCACCACUGCACUCCAGCCUGGCGACAGAGCAAAG
RNAcentral lists this long non-coding RNA (4344 nucleotides) under Homo sapiens (human). Its description in RNAcentral is "PREDICTED lncRNA (TCONS_00014993)". The stretch from base 897 to 1028 matches the Rfam family "Small nucleolar RNA SNORA44". Lineage: Eukaryota; Metazoa; Chordata; Mammalia; Primates; Hominidae. The record is from RNAcentral.